AGGAUGAACGCUGGCGGCGUGCUUAAGACAUGCAAGUCGAACGAAGCCUAAGUAGCAAUACUCGGGUUGAGUGGCGAAUGGGUGCGUAACACGUAGGUGACCUGCCCUGAAGCGGGGAAUAACAGUUCGAAAGGACUGCUAAUACCGCAUGUGGUUCUCAUCUUUUGAAAGUGAGAACGAAAGGUCGGCUUGCCGAUCACUUCAGGAGGGGCCUGCGGCCCAUCAGCUAGUUGGUAGGGUAACGGCCUACCAAGGCAACGACGGGUAGGGGACCUCAGAGGGUGACCCCCCACACUGGCACUGACACACGGGCCAGACUCCUGCGGGAGGCAGCAGUCGGGAAUAUUGCCCAAUGGCCAAAGGCUGAGGCAGCAACGCCGCGUGCGCGAUGAAGGCCUUCGGGUCGUAAAGCGCUUUUCGGGUGGAUGAGGAAGGACAGUACACCGAAUAAGGAACGGCUAACACGUGCCAGCAGCCGC
This 479-nucleotide ribosomal RNA is filed under the name uncultured soil bacterium. RNAcentral's name for it is "bacterial SSU rRNA". It matches the Rfam family "Bacterial small subunit ribosomal RNA", at positions 26 to 518 of the family's 1533-position model. The record is from RNAcentral.